GACUUUUAUUUUGUAUUGUGCUGUGAGUCACUCCUCUUCCGGUCACUCUUCACUUACGUGGCUGUUUUGCUCCUUUUGCGGUCUGACAAAUUUUGUCUUCACCUGUCACACGAUGGAGCUGGAAGCCAUGACUAGAUACACCAGUCCAGUGAACCCUGCAGUGUUUCCUCACCUCACUGUAGUACUGAUGGCCAUCGGCAUGUUCUUCACCGCCUGGUUCUUUGUAUAUGAAGUGACGUCCACGAAGUACACGCGAGAUCUGUACAAAGAGCUGCUGAUUUCUCUGGUGGCUUCGCUCUUCAUGGGCUUCGGCGUUCUGUUCCUCUUACUGUGGGUCGGCAUUUAUGUCUGAAACUGUUUAGACUCUCAUUCUGACGGCACCCAUUCACUGCAGAGGAUCCAUUGAUGAGCAAGUGAUGCAAUGCUGAAUUAAUCCAAAUCUGAUGAAGAAACAAACUCAUCUACAUCUUGCAUGGUCUGCGGGCGGUUUAUAGAGCGUAAAACCCCAAUCCAAGCUUAAUCUGACUGACCAGAAUAAAACAAGUCUGUCAGUGUGGAGAGCUCUGAGAUAAAGCAACUACAGCCGCGUGCCAUGACAAAUAAAAGAAAA
Molecule: RNA transcript, 610 nt
Organism: Carassius gibelio (silver crucian carp)
Lineage: Eukaryota; Metazoa; Chordata; Actinopteri; Cypriniformes; Cyprinidae
Gene name: transmembrane protein 258
Exons: 5
Source: RefSeq, a predicted model, not a curated record